UAGCCGUACUGAAAUAAACCAGGUGCCUCUGC
RNAcentral lists this non-coding RNA (32 nucleotides) under Mus musculus (house mouse). Lineage: Eukaryota; Metazoa; Chordata; Mammalia; Rodentia; Muridae. The record is from RNAcentral.